The sequence is a transfer RNA, 73 nucleotides long. It matches the Rfam family "tRNA". Rfam says of the family: Transfer RNA (tRNA) molecules are approximately 80 nucleotides in length. Their secondary structure includes four short double-helical elements and three loops (D, anti-codon, and T loops). The record is from Rfam.
GGACGGUUAGCUCAGCUGGGAGAGCACCUGCCUUACAAGCAGGGGGUCGGCGGUUCGAUCCCGUCACCGUCCA